GACGAACGCUGGCGGCGUGCUUAACACAUGCAAGUCGAACGGAAAGGCCCUGCUUUUGUGGGGUGCUCGAGUGGCGAACGGGUGAGUAACACGUGAGUAACCUGCCCUUGACUUUGGGAUAACUUCAGGGAACUGGGGCUAAUACCGGAUAGGAGCUCCUGCUGCAUGGUGGGGGUUGGAAAGUUUCGGCGGUUGGGGAUGGACUCGCGGCUUGUCAGCUUGUUGGUGGGGUAGUGGCUUACCAAGGCUUUGACGGGUAGCCGGCCUGAGAGGGCGACCGGCCACAUUGGGACUGAGAUACGGCCCAGACUCCUACGGGAGGCAGCAGUGGGGAAUAUUGCACAAUGGGCGGAAGCCUGAUGCAGCAACGCCGCGUGCGGGAUGACGGCCUUCGGGCUGUAAACCGCUUUCGCCUGUGACGAAGCGUGAGUGACGGUAAUGGGUAAAGAAGCACCGGCUAACUACGUG
RNAcentral lists this ribosomal RNA (468 nucleotides) under uncultured bacterium. Its description in RNAcentral is "partial 16S ribosomal RNA". It matches the Rfam family "Bacterial small subunit ribosomal RNA", at positions 28 to 507 of the family's 1533-position model. The record is from RNAcentral.